UAGGCGUGCUCUUUAGGCAAAUCCGGAGAGCUUAGCUGAGGUGUGAUAACGAGUCUGCUUGCAGACGAAGUGAGUGAUACCCUGCUUCCAGGAAAAGCCACUAAGCUUCAGCUAUAGAUUGACCGUACCGCAAACCGACACUGGUGCGCGAGAUGAGUAUUCUAAGGCGCUUGAGAGAACUCUGGAGAAGGAACUCGGCAAAUUGACACCGUAACUUCGGAAGAAGGUGUGCCUUUAGUAGGUGAACCAUUUACUUGGGGAGCCCAAUGAGGUCGCAGAGAAUCGGUGGCUGCAACUGUUUAAUAAAAACACAGCACUCUGCAAAGACGAAAGUCGACGUAUAGGGUGUGACGCCUGCCCGGUGCUGGAAGAUUAAUUGAUGGGGUGCAAGCUCUUGAUCGAAGUCCCAGUAAACGGCGGCCGUAACAAUAACGGUCCUAAGGUAGCGAAAAUUCCUUAGUCGGGUAAAGUUCCGACUGCACGAAUGGCGUAAUGAUGGCCACACUGUCUCCU
Molecule: ribosomal RNA, 513 nt
Filed under: uncultured bacterium
Lineage: Bacteria
Description: bacterial LSU rRNA
Rfam family: Bacterial large subunit ribosomal RNA
Source: RNAcentral